This 253-nucleotide ribosomal RNA is filed under the name uncultured bacterium. RNAcentral's name for it is "partial 16S ribosomal RNA". It matches the Rfam family "Bacterial small subunit ribosomal RNA", at positions 524 to 776 of the family's 1533-position model. The record is from RNAcentral.
UACAGAGGUCCCAAGCGUUGUUCGGAUUCACUGGGCGUAAAGGGUGCGUAGGCGGUCGGGUAAGUCUGAUGUGAAAUCUCCAAGCCUAACUUGGAACUGCAUUGGAUACUAUCCGGCUAGAGGAAUGGAGGGGAGACUGGAAGUACUUGGUGUAGCAGUGAAAUGCGUAGAUAUCAAGUGGAACACCAGUGGCGAAGGCGAGUCUCUGGACAUUUCCUGACGCUGAGGCACGAAAGCCAGGGGAGCAAACGGG